AGUGAGGGCAGCCUAACAAGAUCUUGAUGGUGCUGCCGUAUGAGAUGGGGCAAUCAUCGUUCCACUUUUCACGUCUCUGUGUGACCAGAGGGUAAACAUCUUGAACUUCAGAGUCUGCAUACCACCUAAUCCCGAGGGAGUCCCCAGGGCCUGUCUGCAUUGAGCUGAAACCUCAGUUCUUAAGCAUCAGGAUCUGCCAGAUUUACAGCCUUCAAAGAGUAGCUUAGCAUCCAAAAUAGUGUAAAGCCUGUGCUGACCUGGCAGGACAGAAGCAGCAACAAGGGAGCUGAAAGCUUUAUUUAAGGAAGAAUGAGCUACGUCUGAAAAACAGUCAGAAGAUAAAAGAAGCUGAAGAAGUAAAUUGGGUGUGUAACGAGCAUUAACAAUUGUUAUAAAAG
RNAcentral lists this long non-coding RNA (398 nucleotides) under Gallus gallus (chicken). Lineage: Eukaryota; Metazoa; Chordata; Aves; Galliformes; Phasianidae. The record is from RNAcentral.